GCCGGGCGUGGUGGCGCACGCCUGUAAUCCCAGUGGCUCAGGAGGCUGAGGCAGGAGGAUCGUGAGUUCAAAGCCAGCCUCAG
This 83-nucleotide small RNA is filed under the name Marmota monax (woodchuck). Lineage: Eukaryota; Metazoa; Chordata; Mammalia; Rodentia; Sciuridae. The record is from RNAcentral.